This 234-nucleotide long non-coding RNA is filed under the name Homo sapiens (human). RNAcentral describes it as "non-protein coding lnc-CMBL-3:1". The record is from RNAcentral. Lineage: Eukaryota; Metazoa; Chordata; Mammalia; Primates; Hominidae.
AGGGUUUUGUUUUCCUAUGCUUUGGUUUUUUUUCUUUUUUUUUUUUUUGUUGAGACAGGAUCUGGCUGUGUUGCCCAGGCUGGAGUGCGGUAUUCCAAUCACCACUCACUGCAACCUCUGUCUCCCAGGCCCAAGCAAACCUCCCUCCUCAGCCUCCUGAGUAGCAGGGACUACAGGUACAUACCACCACACCUGGCUUUUUUUUUUUUUUUUUUUUUUUUUUUUAAGAGACAG